This is a long non-coding RNA of Megalopta genalis, 1145 nucleotides long. RefSeq lists it as uncharacterized. The record is from RefSeq and is a predicted model, not a curated record. NCBI's taxonomy places the organism in Eukaryota, Metazoa, Arthropoda, Insecta, Hymenoptera, Halictidae.
CGAGCUUACAGGUGUUAUUGCUUCUUCCUGAUAAGAAGCCCAACCGUGACGUCAGAUCGGCGCAGGUAGAGUAUAUGAGACGGCACGGAGAGAUAUCCACGUCACUCGUUCUUGAACCUCUUCGUUCGUUUGUUCUGUAAAGUUGUUCAACGGUUUUCGUAUUUCUCUCCGCUCCUUUUUCUCCCCUUUUCGCCAUCACGUUUCCGCUCAUAUCCCACCGGUCUGUCGCGACAGAGACGUGCCAGCGAGAGUCAGUCCUUUGGACGGGAUGCAUAUACGUCCAUCCGGAAGUCCAUCGCGAGCGGGUGUGUUACGGUACCAUAAUGGAGAACAGCGAUCAGACUGGAACUUAAGCUGAAAGGAUAAAAAAGAAGAAAAAGGAAGUGUUAACGACUCGUGGCACGAGUUAACGCACGGAGGUUAUGUUUACCGCGCAAUCAGGUGUUGGCGCUAAAGAGGAAGAGGCUACUCACACCUUCCCGAUAACAAGCAGAGUUGCUACGCUCCACCACGGCGACAAUUUCUACCUUUCAGUAUAUCCUUUCCUGUAACCGAUCCCCUUUCCGUUAACGCUUCAAACUUCGAUCUAUAGAAAGAUUUCGAAGUAAAUAUUCCUCUCGACGAAUGUUACGCGCCGAGUACGGCCAUAAUGGCGCGAAAAUUAUUGACCAUAUUUGAAUUUGAACCGACGUAGCGAUACUUCUAGCUAACGGUACAACUACUCGAUCCGAAAGAAGAACUCACUUUGUUAAAAUUAAUCCGCGAUUCUUCGUGUAAAUUAUGGCGCACUGAUUAUUUAUUCGACUGUCAAUAUAUUUGUAAACUGAUGUACGAUUAAUGAACUUAAUGAUAGGCUUGCAUUUUAUAAAAUUGUUUCAGCACUGGGACAACAGUUGAUGUCGUCGGCACUGGGUACAAACAGUCAGCAGAUAAUUAUUUUCGAUGCUUUUGAAGGCAUGCACUAUGAAGAGAGCUAUCCAUCGACAGUAUGGUGAUGAUAGACACUGUCAUGGAGUUGCUCUCUUUGUCGAUACUGCCAAAUUCAACGUUCUCCACGACUUCGGUCAUCAUCGUAUUACAUUUACUUCUUUCAAUCAGUUUUAUCGAACGAAGAUUGUAUGCAAUAAAGUAUUUAGAUACCCUUA